GACGAACCGUGCGAACGUUGUUCGGAUUCACUGGGCUUAAAGGGCGCGUAGGCGGGCGGUCAAGUCGGGGGUGAAAUCUUUCCGCUUAACGGGAAGCGUGCCUCCGAUACUGAUCGCCUCGAGGGAGGUAGGGGCAUGUGGAACUUCCGGUGGAGCGGUGAACUGCGUAGAGAUCGGAAAGAACACCAACGGCGAAAGCACUCUGCUGGGCCGACACUGACACUGAGAGACGAAAGCUAGGGGAGCGAAUGGG
RNAcentral lists this ribosomal RNA (253 nucleotides) under uncultured bacterium. RNAcentral's name for it is "partial 16S ribosomal RNA". It matches the Rfam family "Bacterial small subunit ribosomal RNA", at positions 524 to 776 of the family's 1533-position model. The record is from RNAcentral.